UGGACUUUCAUGGGAAACCUUUCUUCUCUAUGGAAGGUGGAAUUUUGAAGGAUGGGCUCUUGCUCUCUUUCUCAAAGGCUUGGGACAGAUUGAAUGUUUCAAGUUUUGCGAGGAACAGAUGACAAAAAGAUUCAAGGGUCAGUGGAGUGGAUCGAAGUUUUGCUCCGUACCAAAUUGUCAUAACAAAAUUAAAAAUUAUGAAAAUAAUUAGCCUAUCUAUAGUGUUUAUAUAAUCUUAAAAAUAUUAAGAUUAGGAAUCCUAAACUAAUUAGGACUACACAAUCACAA
This 288-nucleotide unclassified non-coding RNA is filed under the name Hevea brasiliensis (rubber tree). Lineage: Eukaryota; Viridiplantae; Streptophyta; Magnoliopsida; Malpighiales; Euphorbiaceae. The record is from RNAcentral.